RNAcentral lists this ribosomal RNA (488 nucleotides) under uncultured eukaryote. RNAcentral's name for it is "bacterial SSU rRNA". It matches the Rfam family "Eukaryotic small subunit ribosomal RNA", at positions 728 to 1165 of the family's 1831-position model. The record is from RNAcentral.
CGGCGCCGCCCCGGGGCUCGUGAUAUCUCAUCUCGCGCCCGUCGCGAGGCGGACGGAGGGAUGGAUGAGGUUACCUGGAAAAAAUCGGGGCGAUCUAGGCGGGCGAACCUCGCCAACGAACGAUCGGACAUGGGAUAACGGAAGAGGGCGUCGGCUCGACUUCGUCGGUUCCUCGGGCCGAGGCACGUACGGUGAAUAGGGACGGUCGGGGCCGCCCGUACCGGGUCGUGAGAGGUGAAAUUCUAGGAUCGACCCGAGACGAACCGCCGCGAAAGCAUUCGGCAAGGACGCUUUCAUUAAUCAAGAACGAAAUCGGGGGAUCGAAGACGAUCAGAUACCGUCGUAGUCCCGACCGUAAACGAUGCCGACCGAGGGCCCGGAGGAGUUACGUACGACCCUCCGGGCCCUCCCGCGAGAAAUCAGGAGUAUUCGGGUUCCGGGGGGAGUAUGGUCGCAAGGCCGAAACUUAAAGGAAUUGACGGAAGGGC